AACCUAGCACACCUGCGGUGUGUACCUGCGGAGGGAUCAUUACCUAGAGUUGUAGGCUUUGCCUGCUAUCUCUUACCCAUGUCUUUUGAGUACCUUACGUUUCCUCGGUGGGCUCGCCCACCGAUUGGACAAACUUAAACCCUUUGCAGUUGAAAUCAGCGUCUGAAAAAACUUAAUAGUUACAACUUUUAACAAUGGAUCU
RNAcentral lists this unclassified non-coding RNA (202 nucleotides) under soil metagenome. Its description in RNAcentral is "partial contains 5.8S ribosomal RNA, internal transcribed spacer 2, and large subunit ribosomal RNA". The record is from RNAcentral.